GACGAACGCUGGCGGCGUGCUUAACACAUGCAAGUCGAACGGGCCUGUCUUCUUUUUUGGGGGGUGGGUUGAGUGGCGAACGGGUGAGUAUCACGUGAGUAACCUGCCCUUCGGUCCUGGAUAACCGCUUGAAAGGGCGGCUAAUACGGGGUGGUCCGGUUGGUCCGCAUGGGCUGGUCGGGAUAGAUUCACUGUUUUUGGUGUUUCGGCGGGGGAUGGGCUCGCGGCCUAUCAGCUUGUUGGUGGGGUGAUGGCCUACCAAGGCGGUGACGGGUAGCCGGCCUGAGAGGGUGGGCGGCCACACUGGGACUGAGAUACGGCCCAGACUCCUGCGGGAGGCAGCAGUGGGGGGUAUUGCACAAUGGGCGGAAGCCUGAUGCAGCGACGUCGCGUGAGGGAGGGUGGCCUUCGGGUUGUGAACCUCUGUUUCCGGUGGUGAAGGCCCUGUCCGUGUGGUGGGGUUGACGGUAGCCGGGGAUGAAGCGCCGGCUAACUACGUG
This 500-nucleotide ribosomal RNA is filed under the name uncultured bacterium. Its description in RNAcentral is "partial 16S ribosomal RNA". It matches the Rfam family "Bacterial small subunit ribosomal RNA", at positions 28 to 507 of the family's 1533-position model. The record is from RNAcentral.